AGGACAGUGGCGGACGGGUGAGUAACGCGUGGGUAACCUGCCCUUUUCAUGGGGACAACAGCUGGAAACGGCUGCUAAUACCGAGUAAGCUGGUGGAAUCGCAUGAUUCUAUCAGGAAAGAUGGCCUCUGCAUAUGCUAUCGGGAAAGGAUGGACCCGCGUCUGAUUAGAUAGUUGGUGAGGUAACGGCUCACCAAGUCGACGAUCAGUAGCCGGCCUGAGAGGGUGGCCGGCCACAUUGGGACUGAGACACGGCCCAGACUCC
Molecule: ribosomal RNA, 264 nt
Filed under: uncultured Bacillota bacterium
Lineage: Bacteria; Bacillati; Bacillota
Description: uncultured Firmicutes bacterium partial 16S ribosomal RNA
Rfam family: Bacterial small subunit ribosomal RNA
Source: RNAcentral